AGCAGUAGCCACGGUAAUACGGAGGGUGCAAGCGUUAUCCGGAUUUAUUGGGUUUAAAGGGUCCGUAGGCGGAUCUGUAAGUCAGUGGUGAAAUCUCACAGCUUAACUGUGAAACUGCCAUUGAUACUGCAGGUCUUGAGUAAAUUUGAAGUGGCUGGAAUAAGUAGUGUAGCGGUGAAAUGCAUAGAUAUUACUUAGAACACCAAUUGCGAAGGCAGGUCACUAAGAUUUAACUGACGCUGAUGGACGAAAGCGUGGGGAGCGAACAGGAUUAGAUACCCGGGUAGUCCCUGUCUCUUAUAC
RNAcentral lists this ribosomal RNA (303 nucleotides) under uncultured bacterium. Its description in RNAcentral is "partial 16S ribosomal RNA". It matches the Rfam family "Bacterial small subunit ribosomal RNA", at positions 507 to 807 of the family's 1533-position model. The record is from RNAcentral.